RNAcentral lists this unclassified non-coding RNA (335 nucleotides) under soil metagenome. RNAcentral's name for it is "partial contains 5.8S ribosomal RNA, internal transcribed spacer 2, and large subunit ribosomal RNA". The stretch from base 1 to 120 matches the Rfam family "5.8S ribosomal RNA", at positions 35 to 154 of the family's 154-position model. The record is from RNAcentral.
GAUGAAGAACGCAGCGAAAUGCGAUAAGUAAUGUGAAUUGCAGAAUUCAGUGAAUCAUCGAAUCUUUGAACGCACAUUGCGCCCGCCAGUAUUCUGGCGGGCAUGCCUGUUCGAGCGUCAUUUCAACCACCAAGCCCCCGGCUUGUGUUGGGGACCUGCGGCUGCCGCAGGCCCUGAAAACCAGUGGCGGGCUCGCUAGUCACUCCGAGCGUAGUAAUACAUCUCGCUCAGGGCGUGCUGCGGGUUCCGGCCGUUAAAAAGCCUUAUUUACCCAAGGUUGACCUCGGAUCAGGUAGGAAGACCCGCUGAACUUAAGCAUAUCAAUAAGCGGAGGA